Molecule: long non-coding RNA, 5211 nt
Organism: Diachasmimorpha longicaudata
Lineage: Eukaryota; Metazoa; Arthropoda; Insecta; Hymenoptera; Braconidae
Exons: 3
Source: RefSeq, a predicted model, not a curated record
UAGUUGAUCCUACCUAUCCCCACUACUGGCAUGGAUGAAGCUGAGGGAUACGAGUUUGGCUUCGUGUAUUCUCGAAAGUGGUAGAAAGAGGAACCGAGUCUCGAUGGUCUGCGCAAACAUCCAGAUUACGUGACUGCUGCUACCGAUGACGUCAGAGCCGAGGAUUAACGAUGUUAACCGAAGUGUACAGAGUUGUGUGACGAUUGGUGGAAAGUGUCCAGCGUCCUGGGUUGCUAGGAUACGCCAGAUGAUCCACGAGUGACGAUGGUCGGAGUAAAGGUAGACAGCCGGUGCGGGGGUACCGGGGUGAAACAACACCGGGGACCACACACGCGGAAUGUCAAAAUGAAUGAAAACAUCAAACUCGUCUCACUCCGAUAAUGAGGAAGGAGAAGAGGUCCGGCAGAAUUAAAAUGAACCCGAUGGAAAUAAAAAAGAAUGGAAUAUCAAAACUUUUUCCCUCUCUUGGAAGAAUCCAAAUCGAUUAACUUAUUAUCCUGUCGUAACGUUUCCGUAACGAUACGACUUCAUUGAAAUAUCCACCGAGGGCCCACCAUUAACUGAAUUCCGAAAAAGACGGCUUGGAAUCGGAGAAAGUGCCUCUGGAGAAAAAGAGCGGCCAGGGGGAUGGGAGAGAGACAACUUCUUUGCAGUUUUACACGGUAAAUUUUUCAAUGAACUCGAAGAAUUGAAUCAUUUAUUUUUUCCUUUUGAAUUUUUACAUCUUCACACUUCAACUUCAAUAACAUCGCAAAUUUCAUAAUUUCUGAUUGAAUAAAUGCCAAUGAACACGUUAAUGCCCUGCUUUUGGGCUCGAAAUACAACCGGCCGUAGAAGAGUCCCAAAAUUUUCCUGACAUAAAUAUUUGUCGAGUGGUUUUAUACAACAGGAAAGGGUCUGUCCUCUAAUAUUCAAUCAGCGGAAAAUUACCGCACCGUGCAAUAAAAUUUGUCGACUCUUCAGUAACAGUUAUCUAGCUGUUCAAUAAAAAUUAAUUGAGCCUUAGUCAUCUUUUUCAAACGGUCAAGUGAUUUUUACUUACCAGUCGACAAAUUUUCCUGACCAGUGCGAUAAUUUUUCCUCAACGGCCCUGUUGUAUCCCCACUAUUUUAGGGUAUUCAGUUAGUGCUUAUAAAAUGAGCUCCCCACCAUCUGUUGGAGCAUUGCCAACCAUUCCUGAGAACCCUCAACCCUCUCGACCAUUUUGUCUAUUUCCAAAAUCCCUCCAAAUCGUUCCAUUACACAGCAAUCCUCAUAAAAAUACUUUCUACGGUCCCGGUAAUCCCUCGGACCCCUAAUUAGGAACUUCUGCCAAUCCUCCCUCUCCAACUCCUAGACAAACCCCUCUUGACAUUGAUGAGGUCAACCUCUGGAGGUCAUACUCACCCAGUCGCCCACCUUGGGUCCUUCUCCGACCACCCCCAUUUACGAAUAUUGUGCGAACAUACCACGAUUACCAGACGGUACGGUAAUUUCUACUGAUUUUUUCUCUCCGUGCAGUUCUCAACAUAUUCAUGUACUUUUACUUCGACCCUUAUGCGCAUUAGGAUCGCGUCCUUGGGGGCUAAACGGAGAUCUGGGAACUGGCGAGGAUUUUAUGCGCCACGUGAAUCGGUGGUUUUUCCAAAAAAAUCCGGCAGAAGUAAGAGUUCCCUGAAAUGCUCCAUGACGUCCCUCGGGCCCACUUUGACACGCUAGAAGUUUUGGGACGUUUAGUGAAUGUACGAUGCAAUAGCCCUAAUGCUGAAAAAAAUAGGGGAGAUCCAUCACAAUGAAAGGCAUUGUAACAUAAAGCUGCACUUGCAUUAUUACAUCGUGACGCAAGAGAGCGGUAGUUUUUUUUUUGAAGUUCAAGCGUGACAAUUAAAUUGUGAAAGCCGUAAAAUCGGAACAAGCUACCGCUCUCAUCGGUACUGAAAAUUCUCAAAAAUGAGGAGUAAAAAUUGUGAAUUUUCUAGAAAGUGGAUGAAUUGAAAAUCCGUCCAUUAUGUAUUAUUCCAGGGUGUGUAGAAUUGUUAAAGAUGUCAACGUAUGGAGACUGAUAUUUUUGCUUCCGCAAGAUUCUCGCCACAGUUUCACGUAUUUUAUCAGGUAGAAAUCUGGGGUGAAUGAAUUAUUGCACCCUGAACAUUGGAUUUUGUUUCGCACCUUUGCGGUCAGAUGUUUUCAAAGCGUUAGAAGUAAACAUAGAAAAACGACGAUGGGAUUUUUCCCCCGGGGGAGAAUAGUCUCCGUGGAAACACUUCGGGUAGCUGAGCCUUUUCUUUUUCUGCUCGCUGACAUUUAAAUAGAAAUUUGAAAAAAUAGAGAUGAAGAUAUACGAAAAAUCCGAGAAGUCAGUAAAUUUUACCGCAACUACCUGUUCAUCUGUAUCACCCUGUUUGCGUAGGACGGGACCACCCAAGUUGUUCGACGCCUCUGUUAUCUGCCUUGGAAGUGACUUAUGUUAGUGGAAUUCUCAGAAUGUAUGAAUUCGUAUUAAAUAUUUUGAAAAGUUAGACUGUAACAAUGACUAGAGAUUGAUCCGAACGAUUAUAAAUGAUAAUGAUGUUCCUUCCGAAACAGUACUCCCCUCUCAUCCUCAGCGAAUCACAACGAGUUACCAAAAAAUUGCUGGAUGACACCGCAAAAAAGGCCCAAUAAAAUAAACUGACCCAGAUAGGAAUUUUCGAAAGAUUUCUAUCAAUUUUUUAUUAAACCUCAAAUAAAAAAUGAUAGACCGUCAAAUUUUAUAGUACCGUUUAAUAAAUUUUACGAAGCCACAUAUAAUUAAUUACACAAUUUCCGGUAAUGAUAGGAAUUUUUAUGUGUGAGUACUUGGUGUGCCAGGCACCUGGCCCGGUACAGUAAUUUUUCAGACUUUUCCCGCUGAAUUCAAAAAAAUUCCUGGAGCCCCUCAAUUCAGAUGAAAACCGCAAAUUUGUUUUCUUGACUAUAUAUUCAAUGCAUAUUCUUCCUUUUCCUUAUUACCUCAUCGUCCCUAAUCUCACGACACCAGUGCGAGAAACGUGCUUUACACUUAGUGCCACACGAUUGUACUCGUGUGCGCCACAAACGCGUGUAAAACAGCCCGAGAACUCUUCGACCACCCAAGUUGUAACCGCGUAAGUCUCCUCUCCACCCCCUUCUUCCUCGUUCUUCGUUUCUCCAAUAUACCGUCUCAUAUUCACGUACACGUGAAUAUCUUUAACCCGUUCAAAUAUGUGAUGCCAGUAAUGGUCUACACGUUUGCAAUCGAGAGAGAACGACUUCGACUGUCGUUCACAUAAAAAAAUAAUAAAAUUACCAUCCAGUGUCAACUCCAUGCACGUAUACAUAUUACCUUAUCGUGUUUCUCCGACAGUUUAGUUUGCCUCAUCUUUUCAAAAAAUAUAUUCAACAUUUUUUUUGUGAAACAUUUGUUGUGUACGAUUUUUUUGACAUGGGGGUGAAUUAAAGAGAGGGUGAAAGGCGCAUUGUCAAGUGGAUACGGCCCCUUAGUAGCGUAAACUUGUUGGGUGGUCUCAGCUCUCACCGUGGGCGGUCACUCACUAACACCGUUUUGGUAUUAAAUAGUCCUCACAGUUGAAGAGAGAGACAGAUGCACCAUUUCCUCUUCGCUCGACUGAUUUUCGAGUGACCAAUAAAGUUUCCCUGAAUCGUAACUAACGAGAAAUUUUUACUGACAACUAAAAUCACAAGUCAAUGGGUUAUGUGCUUAUAUGGGGGGUAAAUGGGUAUAUAUUAUCAUUCCUAUGUGCAAUAGAAUAAUAGUUUUGUACAGGAAAAUUCUUCAUCGAAAAAAUUCAGCAGAAAUUAUCCAACUCCUGGGUUGGUUGAUUUUUCAACAAACACAGCACGUUGUAGACCUCUCAGGGACUAACGGAGAACACUCGGGUUGUUUAUGACCCAAACAGCCCAUCACCUGGACAACCCCAUAGACAGAAGGGCCUUGUCGCUGGGGCAGAGCUCUCACCCUGGACGAACCGAGGACGAGGGACACUCCGAAACGGUCGCUGGAGCAAGCCACACCGGCUUAUCAACCUAACUAGGACCCUCCCCGGGAAGAGUUGGGAUAAUUCAUCAUCCGAGUUGCCCAUGUGGAUCUGGAGUUCAAGAUGUAGACCACAUUCUAUGGAACUAUCAAAAAAACCGUCAACAACCGCCAGAACUUUAAAAAAAACUGUUAAAAACGUAGCUCAUAAAAAAACCGUGAAUUACAAAUCUAACAAAUUAUGUACUACAGGGAAAAUAAAUAUAUACCGAAAAUCACUGUAAUAGAAUGACAGUGUAAAUACCCCGCAUUAUAGGUUCCAUCACCACAAAUAAAUAAAUUAAAAAACCGAGUAGACGUGAAACUACAUGGAAGGAGAUAAUUAUUUACAACAUUUCCCAAACAAAAACCGUCCCCCAGGUUUUCUUUCGACAACCCCUUCUCUCUAUGUGGCCAAUGUUAACCGAACGAUGAAAAUAAAAAAAUGCGGUUGAAUUAGGGGUGUGUGUGUGUGAGGUAUCAUUGAAGGGAUAGAAUAUAGGUCCCAGGCAGUGUCCAUGUGCGUGUCGAACCGUUGAGCUCUGGCAUUCAUGGAAAAUAAGGUAGCGCGCAGGCGUAUAAGGUACAACGACUACGAGAGGCUUCAAUGUGGGUGGUCACAAGCUGAGAUUUGCCUUCCGCUAAAUAUCGCCUUUGCGCACCACAACGUGGGUGGUCCCCCACCUUACUUUAACCCCCACUAUACUUUUCUCUGUCUUGCGCGAUGCAAACUUACACGCGUAUAUACAGGGUGUCCAAAAAUGAAAUGUCAUCCUUGUGAAUGUACACUGUUACAUAGCGAAAAAAUUGCGGUGAAAAUUGCCCUUCCCCUUCGUAAAUGUAGUUUGCAAAUUUUUUGAUAAAUGAAAAUCAGAUCUAGUGGAUGAAUUAGGGCUGCGCCAGUUGCAUUGGCUGUCGGCUUAAUCGUACUUUGGCAUUUGGCGCAGAAGGGGCGCCUUAAGGAGGUAAGGGGCGGCUAAGGCGAGUGAUCGCAACGCGUGUGGUCCUCGUGUGCCACAAUCAAGGCGAAUGGAGAGACGAGCCGACAUCGUCGAUCGAUCGAUCAACGCUAUCAUCGGAUAUUUAUUUUUAUAUGAAAUGCACUGGCGAGAUAGAGGGAAUUCUUUGGCAAUUAAUUAGAAAGGUGAGGGUAAUAAGAAUGCGGAACGAGAGCGGCACGGGGUGGAGGGUUGGUUGGA